GACGAACGCUGGCGGCGUGCUUAACACAUGCAAGUCGAACGGAAAGGCCCUGCUUUUGUGGGGUGCUCGAGUGGCGAACGGGUGAGUAACACGUGAGUAACCUGCCCUUGACUUUGGGAUAACUUCAGGAAACUGGGGCUAAUACCGGAUAGGAGCUCCUGCUGCAUGGUGGGGGUUGGAAAGUUUCGGCGGUUGGGGAUGGACUCGCGGCUUAUCAGCUUGUUGGUGGGGUAGUGGCUUACCAAGGCUUUGACGGGUAGCCGGCCUGAGAGGGUGACCGGCCACAUUGGGACUGGGGUACGGCCCAGAAUCCUACGGGAGGCAAGAGUGGGGAAUAUUGCACAAUGGGCGGAAGCCUGAUGCAGCAACGCCGCGUGCGGGAUGACCGCCUUUGGGUUGUAAACCGCUUUCGCCUGUGACGAAGCGUGAGUGACGGUAAUGGGUAAAGAAGCACCGGCUAACUACGUG
RNAcentral lists this ribosomal RNA (468 nucleotides) under uncultured bacterium. Its description in RNAcentral is "partial 16S ribosomal RNA". It matches the Rfam family "Bacterial small subunit ribosomal RNA", at positions 28 to 507 of the family's 1533-position model. The record is from RNAcentral.